Molecule: transfer RNA, 73 nt
Filed under: Aquificota bacterium
Lineage: Bacteria; Pseudomonadati; Aquificota
Description: tRNA-Thr
Rfam family: tRNA
About the family: Transfer RNA (tRNA) molecules are approximately 80 nucleotides in length. Their secondary structure includes four short double-helical elements and three loops (D, anti-codon, and T loops).
Source: RNAcentral
GCCCGGGUAGCUCAGUCGGCAGAGCGCACCCUUGGUAAGGGUGAGGUCGCCGGUUCAAGUCCGGUCCCGGGCU